GACGAACGCUGGCGGCGUGCUUAACACAUGCAAGUCGAACGGGCCCGCCCCUGUUUUUGGGGGUGGGUUGAGUGGCGAACGGGUGAGUAUCACGUGAGUAACCUGCCCCCUGCUCCUGGAUAACUGCUUGAAAGGGCGGCUAAUACGGGGUGUGCCGGCUGGUCCGCAUGGGCCUGGUCGGGAUAGUUUCAUCUUCGGGUGUUUCGGUGGGGGAUGGGCUCGCGGCCUAUCAGCUUGUUGGUGGGGUGAUGGCCCACCAAGGCGGUGACGGGUAGCCGGCCUGAGAGGGUGGGCGGCCACACUGGGACUGAGACACGGCCCAGACUCCUGCGGGAGGCAGCAGUGGGGGGUAUUGCACAAUGGGCGGAAGCCUGAUGCAGCGACGUCGCGUGAGGGAUGGAGGCCUUCGGGUUGUGAACCUCUUUCUCCGGUGGUGAAGGCCCUGUCCGUUGCGGCGGGGUUGACGGUAGCCGAGUAUGAAGCGCCGGCUAACUACGUG
This 499-nucleotide ribosomal RNA is filed under the name uncultured bacterium. RNAcentral's name for it is "partial 16S ribosomal RNA". It matches the Rfam family "Bacterial small subunit ribosomal RNA", at positions 28 to 507 of the family's 1533-position model. The record is from RNAcentral.